Molecule: non-coding RNA, 1029 nt
Organism: Camellia sinensis
Lineage: Eukaryota; Viridiplantae; Streptophyta; Magnoliopsida; Ericales; Theaceae
Source: RefSeq, a predicted model, not a curated record
AAUAAGAAAUUUAGAUAAAAAGAUAAAACGAGGUUCGUUUCUUCUUCUUACAUUGAAAUUUAACUUUGACCAAAUUUUUUUUCCUUCUCCACUCUCAAAAUAUGCAUGUGAAACAAACUCUCUAUUAGUUUGGAUGAAAUUUUUUUUUUCCCUUCUUCUUACAAUGCUAAAUAUGUAUUAUUUGAAUUGUUUAAAUGGUUGAGCUUCUGUGCCUAGAAAUUCUUUGCAGGAAGUUGCUGAACCAAUGCACAUAGGUGGAAAAUGGAGGCCAUUGAGAAAUGUGAUGUGAUGGUGUACAUGAAGAUCUUCAAGUUUCCAUAUAAGUUCUGGCAUUGUGGACCCGAAAAAGAGUUCUUUAUAUAUGCCCACGAGUGGAGAGGUUACUACACGUUCUGGCAGGCCUUUAGAUUCACUCUUCAAUGAUCAUGGGCAGCUUGUACCUCAGAGGCCACGACCACCUCCUUUUUUCCCAGAAAACCAUCAUUCUGUUGACAAUUUUGGUCCUUUUGUUGAAACUCAGAGACUCCCACAGGAUAUCGUGCAUUAGGACCCAUGGCUGGGGUUAAGGUUUGGGCUGCAAGUACCUUGACAACGUCUACCAGGAUGGGCAUAUAUCGGGACUAUUAGAACUGCUGUAUCUCCCCCUGUAUGGGGUAACCAGGCAAAGUUGCCAAGCAAUUUUAGCAACUCAUGGACUCGCCAAGAGCAACCUGCAGUCUUACCUUAUGAUUCUAGAAAAAAAAUUUGCAACCAAGAAUGUGGAUGCUCAGGCUACAAAAAGAACCAGGUCCCCACCUAUACCAUCUGUGUAUGAAGUUUCUCAGGAAAAUUCUCAUCUUAGUCGAAAUGACAAAAUUCAAGCUGUGCUUGAGGCAGGUGUCUGUCCACGGCUUGUGGAGCUUCUGUUGUAUGUUCCUAUUUGCUUCAUACUUCUUCAUUGUGACAUUGAUUUUAAAUUUGGUAUGUCUUUUAGUUUUCUAGAAUUAGUUCUUCAAAAAAAAUUCUCUUUUUUUGCAAAUUAGUGGAAUU